This is a small RNA of Enterovibrio coralii, 93 nucleotides long. The record is from Rfam. NCBI's taxonomy places the organism in Bacteria, Pseudomonadati, Pseudomonadota, Gammaproteobacteria, Vibrionales, Vibrionaceae.
AGUGUUACAAAUCUCCAUUUAAACCAGUUAGCGCAAGGCUCUUACGAGCCAUUCCCCUAAGCCCGGAACAGGAAUCGUUCCGGGCUCUUUUUA